This 474-nucleotide ribosomal RNA is filed under the name uncultured bacterium. RNAcentral's name for it is "SSU rRNA". It matches the Rfam family "Bacterial small subunit ribosomal RNA", at positions 26 to 518 of the family's 1533-position model. The record is from RNAcentral.
AGGACGAACGCUGGCGGCGUGCUUAACACAUGCAAGUCGAGCGGAAAGGCCCUUCGGGGUACUCGAGCGGCGAACGGGUGAGUAACACGUGAGCAAUCUGCCCUUAGCUUCGGGAUAGCUCCGGGAAACCGGAAUUAAUACCGAAUACGACCUCGGCCGACAUCGGCCCUGGUGGAAAGUUUUUCGGCUAGGGAUGAACUCGCGGCCUAUCAGCUUGUUGGUGGGGUAAUGGCCUACCAAGGCGACGACGGGUAGCCGGCCUGAGAGGGCGACCGGCCACACUGGGACUGAGACACGGCCCAGACUCCUACGGGAGGCAGCAGUGGGGAUAUUGCGCAAUGGGCGAAAGCCUGACGCAGCGACGCCGCGUGGGGGAUGAAGGCCUUCGGGUUGUAAACCCCGUUUCAGCAGGGACGAAGCGAAAGUGACGGUACCUGCAGAAGAAGCGCCGGCUAACUACGCGCCAGCAGCCGC